This 1493-nucleotide ribosomal RNA is filed under the name Klebsiella sp. 2009I3. RNAcentral describes it as "bacterial SSU rRNA". It matches the Rfam family "Bacterial small subunit ribosomal RNA". The record is from RNAcentral. Lineage: Bacteria; Pseudomonadati; Pseudomonadota; Gammaproteobacteria; Enterobacterales; Enterobacteriaceae.
AGAUUGAUCUGGCUAGAUUGACGCUGGCGGCAGGCCUAACACAUGCAAGUCGAGCGGUAGCACAGAGAGCUUGCUCUCGGGUGACGAGCGGCGGACGGGUGAGUAAUGUCUGGGAAACUGCCUGAUGGAGGGGGAUAACUACUGGAAACGGUAGCUAAUACCGCAUAACGUCGCAAGACCAAAGUGGGGGACCUUCGGGCCUCAUGCCAUCAGAUGUGCCCAGAUGGGAUUAGCUGGUAGGUGGGGUAACGGCUCACCUAGGCGACGAUCCCUAGCUGGUCUGAGAGGAUGACCAGCCACACUGGAACUGAGACACGGUCCAGACUCCUACGGGAGGCAGCAGUGGGGAAUAUUGCACAAUGGGCGCAAGCCUGAUGCAGCCAUGCCGCGUGUGUGAAGAAGGCCUUCGGGUUGUAAAGCACUUUCAGCGGGGAGGAAGGCGGUGAGGUUAAUAACCUCAUCGAUUGACGUUACCCGCAGAAGAAGCACCGGCUAACUCCGUGCCAGCAGCCGCGGUAAUACGGAGGGUGCAAGCGUUAAUCGGAAUUACUGGGCGUAAAGCGCACGCAGGCGGUCUGUCAAGUCGGAUGUGAAAUCCCCGGGCUCAACCUGGGAACUGCAUUCGAAACUGGCAGGCUAGAGUCUUGUAGAGGGGGGUAGAAUUCCAGGUGUAGCGGUGAAAUGCGUAGAGAUCUGGAGGAAUACCGGUGGCGAAGGCGGCCCCCUGGACAAAGACUGACGCUCAGGUGCGAAAGCGUGGGGAGCAAACAGGAUUAGAUACCCUGGUAGUCCACGCUGUAAACGAUGUCGAUUUGGAGGUUGUGCCCUUGAGGCGUGGCUUCCGGAGCUAACGCGUUAAAUCGACCGCCUGGGGAGUACGGCCGCAAGGUUAAAACUCAAAUGAAUUGACGGGGGCCCGCACAAGCGGUGGAGCAUGUGGUUUAAUUCGAUGCAACGCGAAGAACCUUACCUGGUCUUGACAUCCACAGAACUUUCCAGAGAUGGAUUGGUGCCUUCGGGAACUGUGAGACAGGUGCUGCAUGGCUGUCGUCAGCUCGUGUUGUGAAAUGUUGGGUUAAGUCCCGCAACGAGCGCAACCCUUAUCCUUUGUUGCCAGCGGUUAGGCCGGGAACUCAAAGGAGACUGCCAGUGAUAAACUGGAGGAAGGUGGGGAUGACGUCAAGUCAUCAUGGCCCUUACGACCAGGGCUACACACGUGCUACAAUGGCAUAUACAAAGAGAAGCGACCUCGCGAGAGCAAGCGGACCUCAUAAAGUAUGUCGUAGUCCGGAUUGGAGUCUGCAACUCGACUCCAUGAAGUCGGAAUCGCUAGUAAUCGUAGAUCAGAAUGCUACGGUGAAUACGUUCCCGGGCCUUGUACACACCGCCCGUCACACCAUGGGAGUGGGUUGCAAAAGAAGUAGGUAGCUUAACCUUCGGGAGGGCGCUUACCACUUUGUGAUUCAUGACUGGGGGAAGUCGAGCAAGACAGA